UACGUAGGAUCCAAGCGUUGUCCGGAUUUACUGGGUGUAAAGGGUGCGCAGGCGGACUUGUAAGUCAGGGGUGAAAUCUCACAGCUCAACUGUGAAACUGCCUUUGAUACUGCAAGUCUUGGAUCCAGAAGAGAGUUGUGGAAUUCCGAGUGUAGCAGUGAAAUGUGUAGAUAUUCGGAAGAACACCGGUGGCGAAGGCGGCUCACUGGCCCGUAACUGACGCUCAUGCACGACAGCGUGGGGAUCAAACAGG
This 253-nucleotide ribosomal RNA is filed under the name uncultured bacterium. RNAcentral's name for it is "partial 16S ribosomal RNA". It matches the Rfam family "Bacterial small subunit ribosomal RNA", at positions 524 to 776 of the family's 1533-position model. The record is from RNAcentral.